Molecule: ribosomal RNA, 1367 nt
Filed under: uncultured bacterium
Lineage: Bacteria
Description: bacterial SSU rRNA
Rfam family: Bacterial small subunit ribosomal RNA
Source: RNAcentral
CCCUUAGAGUUUGAUCCUGGCUCAAGACGAACGCUGGCGGCGCGCCUAACACAUGCAAGUCGAACGGAGCUUAGAGAGCUUGCUUUUUAAGCUUAGUGGCGAACGGGUGAGUAACGCGUGAGUGACCUGCCCUAGAGUGGGGGACAACAGUUGGAAACGACUGCUAAUACCGCAUAAGCCCACGGUACCGCAUGGUACUGAGGGAAAAGGAUUUAUUCGCUUUAGGAUGGACUCGCGUCCAAUUAGCUAGUUGGUGAGGUAACGGCCCACCAAGGCGACGAUUGGUAGCCGGACUGAGAGGUUGAACGGCCACAUUGGGACUGAGACACGGCCCAGACUCCUACGGGAGGCAGCAGUGGGGGAUAUUGCACAAUGGGGGAAACCCUGAUGCAGCGACGCCGCGUGGAGGAAGAAGGUUUUCGGAUUGUAAACUCCUGUCGUUAGGGACGAUAAUGACGGUACCUAACAAGAAAGCACCGGCUAACUACGUGCCAGCAGCCGCGGUAAAACGUAGGGUGCAAGCGUUGUCCGGAAUUACUGGGUGUAAAGGGAGCGCAGGCGGGAAGACAAGUUGGAAGUGAAAACCAUGGGCUCAACCCAUGAAUUGCUUUCAAAACUGUUUUUCUUGAGUAGUGCAGAGGUAGAUGGAAUUCCCGGUGUAGCGGUGGAAUGCGUAGAUAUCGGGAGGAACACCAGUGGCGAAGGCGGUCUACUGGGCACCAACUGACGCUGAGGCUCGAAAGCAUGGGUAGCAAACAGGAUUAGAUACCCUGAUAGUCCAUGCCGUAAAACGAUGAUUAAUUAGGUGUGGGGGGAUUGACCCCCUCAGUGCCGCAGGUAACACAAUAAGUAAUCCACCUGGGGAGUACGACCGCAAGGUUGAAACUCAAAGGAAUUGACGGGGGCCCGCACAAGCAGUGGAGUAUGUGGUUUAAUUCGAAGCAACGCGAAGAACCUUACCAGGUCUUGACAUCCGAUGCAUAACACAGAGAUGUGUGAAAUCCUUCGGGACAUCGAGACAGGUGGUGCAUGGUUGUCGUCAGCUCGUGUCGUGAGAUGUUGGGUUAAGUCCCGCAACGAGCGCAACCCUUAUUGCCAGUUACUACGUUAAGAGGACUCUGGCGAGACUGCCGUUGACAAAACGGAGGAAGGUGGGGAUGACGUCAAAUCAUCAUGCCCUUUAUGACCUGGGCUACACACGUACUACAAUGGCGUUAAACAAAGAGAAGCAAGACCGCGAGGUGGAGCAAAACUCAAAAACAACGUCUCAGUUCAGAUUGCAGGCUGCAACUCGCCUGCAUGAAGUCGGAAUUGCUAGUAAUCGCGGAUCAGCAUGCCGCGGUGAAUACGUUCCCGGGCCUUGCACU